GACUCGCUGGUCCUCUCCCUUGCCCUCUCCCUCGGCAUCCUCCCAUGGAGAGAGUAACAACAAAUCAGAGGUAAAUCCACUUCCUGGCAGGAAGUUGAGCCUGAAACUCGAUGAAGCCACAGCGGUUCAAAGGGAGAGUGACACCCAAACAAGAGAGCAGCUCUUAAUCCCCCACAGAAAGAUGGGAAUGGAGAGCUCAGGCCCAGGGGGGAGACCGCCGCCGCUUUGCUUCGCCAGGAUUGAAAACACAGACCUAUUGAGAGGCGGGGACUUUGAGACACAGACCCCGAGGGGCAGUUGCCAAGUUGAAGGCAGCCCGAGGCUGCCAGCUUUUGCCUCUUUAGUUCGAGCCUUGGCAGUAAUGAGAUGAAGAGCCAGGACUUUUAACUGGCUCGGUCAGAAAGAUUUCCUUACUAGGCAAACGCGGGGUGGGGGAGCAUUUGGGUCUCAGCCUGAAGCCACUGUCAUCCAGACGAGAGCCUCUCCUCCCACACCCAGCCCCUACCCCCGAGCCCCUGGGCCCCUCAUCAUGGCCCAGCCCCACUCCUGCCGGCUUCCCACACCUUGAAGGCGAUCCCGAAGAGGUGUCAAGUGGGCCAGAAGAGGGCCCUGACAGAGCGCAAGUGACGAACAGGUGGCCGGGGCAGAGGGCCGCCCUGAGGCUAGUUCUGGACCUGUGGGUCAGCGCCUGGUUUAAGAUUUCAUUUGAAGAAGCAAUCGCAGAGCCUAGAAUUUGAAAAGCCCUAAGAAGACGUCGGAGACGGGAGAUUCAUGCAUGCCUGUUUUCGUAACAGCAUUUCUGCGAAGUUGGCAUCCAAAUGUAAUUCAUUAAAUGAAUGCUCACAUGACACCUGAUUUAUAAGACCAUUAGCUCCACAGAAGAUUUGAGGUUGCUUAUAAAGAGCGGAGCCCAACGCGGGUCUUGAACUCAUGACCCUGAGAUCAAGACCUGAGCUGAAAUCAAGAGUCAGACGCUUCACCGGCUGAGCCACCCAGGAGCCCCUAAGUGGAGUCACUUUAAAUGACUGUUUUCCAGGAUCCUCUGCCCUCCAAAAUUGAGAACCUUCUGGGCAGCCUGAGGAGUCUGAGACAGAAAGGAUAUCCCAAUUCAUCAAAUGCUGCUCACCCCCUUCCCCCCGCCCCGAAAAGUUGAGUAAGACGAAAGCAAAGAAGAACCUAGGGUCUCCCUCCAAUCAGAAGAGAGAACCUGAGCCCUGGACACUCAGGUAGGAGUUGAGCCUUGAACUGCCAUCCACUUCCUUUCCGCAGCCUGCCUGAGACCAUUGACAUUUGAAGAAGAUGGGCUUGUCACUCAUACUCUAAACCUAAUCCAGGUAUCCUUUAAUGUGGUCUGGUUUCCUGGAAAGGGAAUGAGCCUUAUGUGGACUCCACAACCUUCUGACUGUGUGACCGUGGCAAAAUCGUUUACCCUUUCUGUUUUCUCACUUGUAAAAGGAGAAUAGUAACACCUAUCUUGCAGGCCGUCAGGAGGACUAGAGAUAAUGCAUGAAAACCCUGGUCCUGUUUCGGAUAAAAGUAUGCUGCAAGAAACCCUGGUCUUCCUCAUCAGCCGAUGAUAUUUCUAGACUUCAUUUCGAGACUCUCUAGUUCCCAGAGAAAUGCCUUCAUUAAAUAGUGUUUUAAUGUCUUGAUAUCAAUUUUUGUAGAGGAUUAUCCUAAGACGUCAUCGUAAGAAUUCUGCCUCUUUUGCAAAACUCUGGUUGAAGACACUGUUCAGUAUGUUGUCCAUUCAGAAUCCUUGUAACACUUUGGAUAGGAUAAAUUUCUUUGAAUUUAGCAACAGAAAAGAGUUUUUCUAUUUUUCUUUGCUUUUUAUCAAUAAGAAUCAGUGUUUUUAUUUUUGUUUAGUUGCUGGGAAGCCUAGAACUAAACUUAACAGAAGCCUUUCCUUUUCUUCUUCCUCCCUGUAUGGUUUUUGUUCUUUUUACAUUGAUUUUAAGCCUUAUUUUAUACUACUAAUACUUUUAUUACUACUACUGGUAUUGGUAAUAGUACAUAGCAUUUGGAGAGUGACAAUGUCAGAGUCUGCCUGAGCCCUGUAAUCCUGGAAAACAGUGAAAGUUGAGAAAUCCCCCCAAUUUUCAUGUUCCAGAAAAUGACUGAGUGCAAAGGACCACCCUUCCCCAUAUACUCAAUGAUGCCCCCCCAUUUACCUACAAGGCCAGCCAUAGACCCUCAAAAUUUUCUUUCUUUGCCUUAUAAAUAAUGAUCUGAACUUCAUGUCCCCACUGAUUAUUCAGAACAAAAUGCUUGUUAAUCAAACUUUGGUUACACUUCUGCCCUCCCUCCAGGCCCCUGAACUUUUUGGCCCAACUCCCACUAGCCUGCAAAUGUCCUGUCCCAAGAAUAGGCUGGCCUGGCAUGGGAGGGGGAGAUAUUCUCUGAUCUACUAUCCCUUAUGCCCACUUUCUUACACCUCCUUCUUUCUUGCCUUGUUUACUCCUCUCUAUAAAAGAAAAUCCCUUUUUGCUGAACUCUUGAGAUACUUGCUGAUCUUACAGUCAAUAGUAUUCUCCCUAUUGCAAAAUUCUGUCCCCUCCCCCAAACUUGCAAUAGUCUUUUCGGAGUAACAGUCUCUCCUUACUAGUCUGGAUUUGUUUUUUAUUUGAAGACAGUAAUUUGCCAUGUAAAGGGUACACACACAUUGUAAUACAUGAGUGUAUACAUUAUACAUAUAUAUACACCUAUAUAAUCUCAUUUAAGUUUCAUGAUGACCAUAAGAAGGUCAAUACUCUUAUUAUCAGUUUCAAUUUACUAGUGAGGAAACAGAAUCUCAAGAAAUGCCUUGCCAGUAAGUGAGGUAGAGAUCUGAAGCCAGACUUCCUGUCCUUAACUCCUGACUUACUCUUGCUACAGCAUCAUCACUGAUCUUUUGGGAAAUGGACAAGGUAUGAAUAAAUGCUGAGGACAGAAUCAGGGAGAAUGUUUCCUCUGGUCUUUCUGGUCUUUCACGUUGCCCAGAUGUGAUUGCUCUCACGCAUUAUGAUGACUGUUGUUUGCUUGUUUCCCCCAGGAACAUAGUAAUUAAGAACAUUCUGGUAAUUAAGAACAUUCUGCCAGUUAAGGUGGGAGGUAUUCCCAUGCAAAACAUUUCACAUGGAGAACUGCAUGGAGGAAACUCUCUCUACACAUCCCUGGGCACUAUGUUGGAUGUGUUACUGAAGUCAUAUUUUGCCUAGUUCCAGAUGAAUUUGAGGUUUAACUUUGUUACUUCACUUAAUCUCUCAACCACUUAAUGAGGCAGGUGAUUACCUCCAUGAUCCAGAUGGGAAAACUAGGGUUAAUUCUUUGGUGGUUCCAAUGAUGAUAGUUACUAUCUAUCAGAGACAAGAAAGAACACUGUGUGUUACAUACUAUUAUCCUCCUUUUUUGAGGAGGAAAUGAGAGAAAUUAAAUAAUGGAAAUAAUUUGCCCAAAAUACAGCAGAGCCCAGUCUUUGCCAAACUCUUCUGAGCUCUCUCUUCUUUUCCUCCACCUCCUGCUUCUCCUUCUGUCUUUUAUCAUGUUUUUGUCUAAUCAAAAUUUUCCUUGCACAUAGUUUAAAGAUACUGAGAGUUUGGGGAGCCCAGGUGGCUCAGUCGAUUGAACGUCCAACUCUUGAUUUCAGCUCAGGUUGUGAUCUUGGCGUCAUGGGAUCAGGCCUGUGUCAGGCUCCAUGCUCAGUGGGGAGUCUGCUUGAGAGUCUCUCUCUCAGGGCACCUGGGUGGCUCAGUUGGUUAAGAGUCUGACUCUUGAUUUCUGCUCAGGUCAUGAUCCAGGGUCGUGAGACAGAGCACCAUAUUAGAUUCUAUG
Molecule: long non-coding RNA, 3813 nt
Organism: Mirounga angustirostris (Northern elephant seal)
Lineage: Eukaryota; Metazoa; Chordata; Mammalia; Carnivora; Phocidae
Exons: 4
Source: RefSeq, a predicted model, not a curated record